This 205-nucleotide unclassified non-coding RNA is filed under the name plant metagenome. Its description in RNAcentral is "partial contains small subunit ribosomal RNA, internal transcribed spacer 1, and 5.8S ribosomal RNA". The record is from RNAcentral.
UCUCCGUAGGUGAACCUGCGGAGGGAUCAUUACUGAGUGAGGGCCUCUGGCCCGACCUCCAACCCUUUGAUGUCCGACUCUGUUGCCUCGGGGGCGACCCGGCCUUCGGGCCCGGGGCCCCCCGUGGUCCACUCAACUCUGCAUCUUUGCGUCUGAGUAAACAUUAAAUGAAAUAAAACUUUCAACAACGGAUCUCUUGGUUCUG